UUAAGCGACUAAGCGUACACGGUGGAUGCCCUGGCAGUCAGAGGCGAUGAAGGGCGUGCUAAUCUGCGAUAAGCGCCGGUAAGGUGAUAUGAACCGUUAUAACCGGCGAUACCCGAAUGGGGAAACCCAGUGUGAUUCGUCACACUAUCAUUAACUGAAUCCAUAGGUUAAUGAGGCGAACCGGGGGAACUGAAACAUCUAAGUACCCCGAGGAAAAGAAAUCAACCGAGAUUCCCCCAGUAGCGGCGAGCGAACGGGGAGGAGCCCAGAGCCUGAAUCAGCAUGUGUGUUAGUGGAAGCGUCUGGAAAGGCGCGCGAUACAGGGUGACAGCCCCGUACACAAAAGCGCAUAUGCUGUGAGCUCGAUGAGUAGGGCGGGACACGUGGUAUCCUGUCUGAAUAUGGGGGGACCAUCCUCCAAGGCUAAAUACUCCUGACUGACCGAUAGUGAACCAGUACCGUGAGGGAAAGGCGAAAAGAACCCCGGCGAGGGGAGUGAAAAAGAACCUGAAACCGUGUACGUACAAGCAGUGGGAGCACCCUUUGGGGUGUGACUGCGUACCUUUUGUAUAAUGGGUCAGCGACUUAUAUUCUGUAGCAAGGUUAACCGUAUAGGGGAGCCGGAGGGAAACCGAGUCUUAAUUGGGCGUUAAGUUGCAGGGUAUAGACCCGAAACCCGGUGAUCUAGCCAUGGGCAGGUUGAAGGUUGGGUAACACUAACUGGAGGACCGAACCGACUAAUGUUGAAAAAUUAGCGGAUGACCUGUGGCUGGGGGUGAAAGGCCAAUCAAACCGGGAGAUAGCUGGUUCUCCCCGAAAGCUAUUUAGGUAGCGCCUCGUGAAUUCAUCUCCGGGGGUAGAGCACUGUUUCGGCUAGGGGGCCAUCCCGGCUUACCAACCCGAUGCAAACUGCGAAUACCGGAGAAUGUUAUCACGGGAGACACACGGCGGGUGCUAACGUCCGUCGUGAAGAGGGAAACAACCCAGACCGCCAGCUAAGGUCCCAAAGUCAUGGUUAAGUGGGAAACGAUGUGGGAAGGCCCAGACAGCCAGGAUGUUGGCUUAGAAGCAGCCAUCAUUUAAAGAAAGCGUAAUAGCUCACUGGUCGAGUCGGCCUGCGCGGAAGAUGUAACGGGGCUAAACCAUGCACCGAAGCUGCGGCAGCGAACGUAUCACUUAAAGCGAUUCAGCGGGUUACGAUUGACGGAGCGAAGCGACGUCAAAGCGUAUACAAAGUCGAGUCGGUUUAAGGAUACGUUCGUUGGGUAGGGGAGCGUUCUGUAAGCCUGUGAAGGUGUGCUGUGAGGCAUGCUGGAGGUAUCAGAAGUGCGAAUGCUGACAUAAGUAACGAUAAAGCGGGUGAAAAGCCCGCUCGCCGGAAGACCAAGGGUUCCUGUCCAACGUUAAUCGGGGCAGGGUGAGUCGACCCCUAAGGCGAGGCCGAAAGGCGUAGUCGAUGGGAAACGGGUUAAUAUUCCCGUACUUGGUGUUACUGCGAAGGGGGGACGGAGAAGGCUAUGUUGGCCGGGCGACGGUUGUCCCGGUUUAAGCGUGUAGGUGUGUGUUCCAGGUAAAUCCGGUUCACUUUAACACUGAGGCGUGAUGACGAGGCACUACGGUGCUGAAGCAACAAAUGCCCUGCUUCCAGGAAAAGCCUCUAAGCAUCAGGUAACAUCAAAUCGUACCCCAAACCGACACAGGUGGUCAGGUAGAGAAUACCAAGGCGCUUGAGAGAACUCGGGUGAAGGAACUAGGCAAAAUGGUGCCGUAACUUCGGGAGAAGGCACGCUGACACGUAGGUGAAGUGAUUUACUCACGGAGCUGAAGUCAGUCGAAGAUACCAGCUGGCUGCAACUGUUUAUUAAAAACACAGCACUGUGCAAACACGAAAGUGGACGUAUACGGUGUGACGCCUGCCCGGUGCCGGAAGGUUAAUUGAUGGGGUCAGCGCAAGCGAAGCUCCUGAUCGAAGCCCCGGUAAACGGCGGCCGUAACUAUAACGGUCCUAAGGUAGCGAAAUUCCUUGUCGGGUAAGUUCCGACCUGCACGAAUGGCGUAAUGAUGGCCAGGCUGUCUCCACCCGAGACUCAGUGAAAUUGAACUCGCUGUGAAGAUGCAGUGUACCCGCGGCAAGACGGAAAGACCCCGUGAACCUUUACUAUAGCUUGACACUGAACAUUGAGCCUUGAUGUGUAGGAUAGGUGGGAGGCUUUGAAG
RNAcentral lists this ribosomal RNA (2217 nucleotides) under Salmonella enterica subsp. enterica serovar Liverpool. Its description in RNAcentral is "bacterial LSU rRNA". It matches the Rfam family "Bacterial large subunit ribosomal RNA", at positions 1 to 2162 of the family's 2925-position model. Lineage: Bacteria; Pseudomonadati; Pseudomonadota; Gammaproteobacteria; Enterobacterales; Enterobacteriaceae. The record is from RNAcentral.